RNAcentral lists this ribosomal RNA (451 nucleotides) under uncultured bacterium. Its description in RNAcentral is "bacterial SSU rRNA". It matches the Rfam family "Bacterial small subunit ribosomal RNA", at positions 354 to 796 of the family's 1533-position model. The record is from RNAcentral.
GUGGGGAAUAUUGGUCAAUGGGCGCAAGCCUGAACCAGCGACGCCGCGUGAGUGAUGAAGGCCUUCGGGUUGUAAAGCUCUGUGGGGAGAGAAGAAAACAUUUAGGGCGAAUAGGCCUAGAUCUUGACGGUAUCUUCUUAGCAAGCACCGGCUAACUCUGUGCCAGCAGCCGCGGUAAGACAGAGGGUGCAAACGUUGCUCGGAAUUACUGGGCGUAAAGCGCGUGUAGGCGGAUCUUUAAGUCGGGCGUGAAAUCCCUGGGCUCAACCCAGGAACUGCACUCGAAACUGAGGACCUUGAGUAAUGGAGAGGAAAGCGGAAUUCCUGGUGUAGAGGUGAAAUUCGUAGAUAUCAGGAGGAACACCGGUGGCGAAGGCGGCUUUCUGGACAUUUACUGACGCUGAGACGCGAAAGCGUGGGGAGCAAACAGGAUUAGAAACCCGUGUAGUCC